UACGUAGGGUGCGAGCGUUAAUCGGAAUUACUGGGCGUAAAGCGUGCGCAGGCGGUGGCUCAAGCCAGGCGUGAAAGCCCCGAGCUUAACUUGGGAAUUGCGCUUGUGACUGGCGUGCUGGAGUGUGGCAGAGGGAGGUGGAAUUCCACGUGUAGCAGUGAAAUGCGUAGAGAUGUGGAGGAACACCGAUGGCGAAGGCAGCCUCCUGGGCCAGCACUGACGCUCAUGCACGAAAGCGUGGGGAGCAAACAGG
Molecule: ribosomal RNA, 253 nt
Filed under: uncultured bacterium
Lineage: Bacteria
Description: partial 16S ribosomal RNA
Rfam family: Bacterial small subunit ribosomal RNA
Source: RNAcentral